CCUCCACGGGGACAAGGACACAAUAAGCUACUCCCUUUGUAAGAGAACGCCCCGCCAGACUGCCUACUCGAUU
RNAcentral lists this long non-coding RNA (73 nucleotides) under Cervus hanglu yarkandensis (Yarkand deer). RNAcentral describes it as "lncRNA (ENSCHYG00000024397.1)". Lineage: Eukaryota; Metazoa; Chordata; Mammalia; Artiodactyla; Cervidae. The record is from RNAcentral.